Non-coding RNA from Phalacrocorax carbo (great cormorant), 1274 nucleotides. The record is from RefSeq and is a predicted model, not a curated record. NCBI's taxonomy places the organism in Eukaryota, Metazoa, Chordata, Aves, Suliformes, Phalacrocoracidae.
AACUCCCUGUACAGUUGAACGUCGUCAGAUUACCGUUACAUACAGGAAUCCGCCAAAGGAUAAGAUAGUCACCAUAAAACUCAAGACUGGGCUAAGUUUUAUUUCACCUCCUAAGAGACUGCUUCUUCCAUCAUUUUUUCUCUGUAGAGAUUGGUCAUGGCAAGGGAAAGGAACAUUUCAGACCCACAGAAGUGUGGAAUUUUGAUGGAAUUGAGAACUUACAUGUCUCCAAAAACAAACUCAUGCAUUUUUUCUCCUGAAAGAGGGAAGAAAAACUUACAAAACAGAUCACUCAAGCCUGAAAGAGAACUAGGUGGAAGUUCCUCACUGAAGGAACAGUGACCUUAUAAAGGUACCUUUACUGAGUAUGAUAGUCAUCAGGCCUGUACCUCCAAUGAAGCAGCUCUGAAAGCCGGUGACCAUGUUACUAUGCUACUCCAGGUGCAUUCUCUAUGCUUUGGAUCAUGAUGACAAAAUUGCUUGAAUAAACCUGUGUAUGUAAUUUGGUUUCCACUUUCCUGCUCACAAGUGCACAAAGUAAGCUUUAUGCCUACUACUCCUGCUAUUGCCUUUAAGGAUGCAGCACAUUCCUCUUGUUUCCCUCAGUUCUUUCCCAUCACCAUUUGAAGGCUUCAGCUAUGCUCACUAACACACUUCUUCCAUCACUGAUCGAGCCAGACCAACUUACAUAUGCUGCAAAUCAGCUGUUUUUUCCAAAACACAUUACUGUAAUGGAAGGCGGGUUUGCUUUAUGAUUUCCCAUUUCCUUUUGGCUUAACCUCUCCGUCUCACCUCUCAUGUUUUAUAUUUCAGCGAGGCAUUUGCUUGCAGAAUCUCCAUUUCACGGUUUCUGAAAAGUCUAAUCAGAUUUCACUCAGAAAAAUCUCUCCACAGGUGAAAGUGCUGCAUCAGAAAGCAAAACCUGCACCAGCAGAGAUUAUAGGAGUCCAUGAGAAUUAGUGGUAGCAGGACUGGUAAUUCACAGUGGAGAACUGAGACCUUUUUACCUUAGCCCAUUCCAAAGUGCUUUAAAUUCAUACUAUUUAAAAGAUCAUCUCUGUUCAGCUUCCUGACCACCAAAUCUCAGAAGUUUCAAGCACUUUUUGCACUAGAUGACAAUGAUCCUGGCAGUCAAAUGGUCCGAGUCUCUCUAGCUCAGUUCUCAGAUACCUGCAAAGCAAAAUGCUGAAGAAGUAAGUUUCUUUAACAUAUGGAAGGGAGAGUUUUGUAUUGUCAGGUGCAUCUGAUCCAUAAAAAACCCACAAGUCUGUUCU